Molecule: transfer RNA, 74 nt
Filed under: Candidatus Nitrosopumilus sp.
Lineage: Archaea; Thermoproteati; Nitrososphaerota; Nitrososphaeria; Nitrosopumilales; Nitrosopumilaceae
Description: Nitrosopumilus sp. tRNA-Thr
Rfam family: tRNA
About the family: Transfer RNA (tRNA) molecules are approximately 80 nucleotides in length.
Source: RNAcentral
GCCAUAAUAGCUCAGCUUGGUAGAGCGAGGGUUUCGUAAACCCUAGGCCGUGGGUUCAAAUCCCACUUAUGGCU